AAUACCUACGGGAGGCAGCAGUGAGGAAUAUUGGUCAAUGGGCGGGAGCCUGAACCAGCCAAGUCGCGUGAGGGAAGAAGGUACUGAGUAUUGUAAACCUCUUUUGCCAGGGGACAAAGGCGGCCACGGGUGGCCGUAAGAGGGUACCUGGAGAAAAAGCAUCGGCUAACUCCGUGCCAGCAGCCGCGGUAAUACGGAGGAUGCGAGCGUUAUCCGGAUUUAUUGGGUUUAAAGGGUGCGUAGGCGGAACAUUAAGUCAGCGGUAAAAUCGAGGGGCUCAACCCCUUUAAGCCGUUGAAACUGGU
This 305-nucleotide ribosomal RNA is filed under the name uncultured bacterium. Its description in RNAcentral is "bacterial SSU rRNA". It matches the Rfam family "Bacterial small subunit ribosomal RNA", at positions 334 to 637 of the family's 1533-position model. The record is from RNAcentral.